CCCCGCCGGUGGAUCCGGGGCCCCUGGCGAUAGGAUCGAUCCGUACAACACACAUCACCUCUGCGAGGGAAGCCGGUGGGAAUCCGGCGCUGACGCGCAGCCGUGAGUCGGGGACGCCCCGACGAGUCGGAAUGCUCGCUCCGGUGAUUCCAACCUC
This 157-nucleotide non-coding RNA is filed under the name Propionibacterium acidifaciens. The record is from RNAcentral. Lineage: Bacteria; Bacillati; Actinomycetota; Actinomycetes; Propionibacteriales; Propionibacteriaceae.